GGGAUAGCCAUUGGAAACGAUGAUUAAAACCUCAUAAUGCCGAAGGAACACAUGUUUCAUCGGCCAAAGAUUUAUCGGUCAGGGAUGGGCCUGCGUCUGAUUAACUAGUUGGUGAGGUAACGGCCCACCAAGGUGACGAUCAGUAGCCGACCUGAGAGGGUGAUCGGCCACAUUGGAACUGAGACACGGUCCAAACUUCUACGGAAGGCAGCAGUAGGGAAUCUUGCACAAUGGGCGAAAGCCUGAUGCAGCAACGCCGCGUGAAGGAUGAAGGCCUUCGGGUUGUAAACUUCUGUUCUUAGGGAAGAAGAAAGUGACGGUACCUAAGGAGAAAGCCCCGGCUAACUACGUGCCAGCAGCCGCGGUAAUACGUAGGGGGCAAGCGUUAUCCGGAAUUAUUGGGCGUAAAGAGUGCGUAGGUGGUUAUCUAAGCGUAAGGUUUAAGCGUGCAGCUCAACUGCAUCUUGCCUUGCGAACUGGACUACUUGAGUGCAGGAGGGGAAAGCGGAAUUCCUAGUGUAGCGGUGAAAUGCGUAGAUAUUAGGAGGAACACCAGCGGCGAAGGCGGCUUUCUGGACUGUAACUGACACUGAGGCACGAAAGCGUGGGGAGCAAACAGGAUUAGAUACCCUGGUAGUCCACGCCGUAA
This 649-nucleotide ribosomal RNA is filed under the name uncultured bacterium. RNAcentral's name for it is "bacterial SSU rRNA". It matches the Rfam family "Bacterial small subunit ribosomal RNA", at positions 140 to 805 of the family's 1533-position model. The record is from RNAcentral.